GAUGAGAACGUAGCGAAAUGCGAUACGUAAUGUGAAUUGCAGAAUUCAGUGAAUCAUCGAAUCUUUGAACGCAUAUUGCGCUCUCUGGUAUUCCGGAGAGCAUGCUUGUUUGAGUAUCAGUAAACACCUCAACUCCCUUUUCUUUUUUGAAAUUGGAGCUGGACUUGAGUGAUCCCAACGCUUUCUUCCAAGAAAGUGGCGGGUUGCUUGAAAUGCAGGUGCAGCUGAACUUUUCUCUGAGCUAUAAGCAUAUCUAUUUAGUCUGCCUAAAAAACAGAUUAUUACCUUUGCUGCAGCUAACAUAAAGGAGACUAGUUCUUGUGCUGACUGAUGCAGGAUUCACAGAGACAGCUUCGGCUGACUUUGUAAACUCGAUCUCAAAUCAAGUAAGACUACCCGCUGAACUUAAGCAUAUCAAUAAGCGGAGGA
Molecule: unclassified non-coding RNA, 429 nt
Filed under: soil metagenome
Description: partial contains 5.8S ribosomal RNA, internal transcribed spacer 2, and large subunit ribosomal RNA
Rfam family: 5.8S ribosomal RNA (bases 5-119)
Source: RNAcentral